This 418-nucleotide ribosomal RNA is filed under the name uncultured prokaryote. RNAcentral's name for it is "bacterial SSU rRNA". It matches the Rfam family "Archaeal small subunit ribosomal RNA", at positions 455 to 873 of the family's 1478-position model. The record is from RNAcentral.
GUGCCAGCCGCCGCGGUAAUACCAGCUCUCCGAGUGGUGGGGAUGAUUAUUGGGCCUAAAGCAUCCGUAGCCGGCUGGACAAGUCCCCUGUUAAAUCCAACGAUCCAAUCGUUGGUCUGCGGGGGAUACUGUCCGGCUUGGGGGCGGGAGAGGCCGCCGGUAUUUCCGGGGUAGGGGUGAAAUCCUAUAAUCCCGGGAGGACCACCAGUGGCGAAGGCUGUCGGCUAGAACGCGCCCGACGGUGAGGGAUGAAAGCUGGGGGAGCGAACCGGAUUAGAUACCCGGGUAGUCCCAGCUGUAAACGAUGCAGGCUAGGUGUUAGGGCGGCUACGUGCCGCUCUAGUGCCGCAGGGAAGCCGUUAAGCCUGCCGCCUGGGGAGUACGGUCGCAAGGCUGAAACUUAAAGGAAUUGACGGGG